RNAcentral lists this ribosomal RNA (511 nucleotides) under uncultured swine feces bacterium F13. Its description in RNAcentral is "bacterial SSU rRNA". It matches the Rfam family "Bacterial small subunit ribosomal RNA", at positions 7 to 486 of the family's 1533-position model. The record is from RNAcentral.
GAGAGUUUGAUUCUGGCUCAGGACGAACGCUGGCGGCGUGCUUAACACAUGCAAGUCGAACGAGAGGACAUGAAAAGCUUGCUUUUUAUGGAAUCGAGUGGCAAACGGGUGAGUAACGCGUAAGCAACCUGCCCUGCAGAUGGGGACAACAGCUGGAAACGGCUGCUAAUACCGAAUACGAAGCAGCUCCCGCAUGGGGGCAGCUUGAAAGGAUGGCCUCUGAAUAUGCUAUCGCUGCAGGAGGGGCUUGCGUCUGAUUAGCUGGUUGGAGGGGUAACGGCCCACCAAGGCGACGAUCAGUAGCCGGUCUGAGAGGAUGAACGGCCACAUUGGGACUGAGACACGGCCCAGACUCCUACGGGAGGCAGCAGUGGGGAAUCUUCCGCAAUGGACGAAAGUCUGGCGGAGCAACGCCGCGUGAGUGAAGACGGCCUUCGGGUUGUAAAGCUCUGUUAUACGGGACGAACGGGCAGGAUGCUAAUACCAUCCUGUUGUGACGGUACCGUAAGAA